AAAGGAUGGUGCACAAUCUCACUGCUCCCUACACCUGCAGCACAGGCAUCACUUGGGAAUCUGUUAAGAAUGCAGUAUCUUGGGCUGCAGAUCCACUGAAUUACAGUAUGAAUUUCAACAAGAUCCCCAGGCAAUUCAGGUGCACAGUAAAGUUUGUGAAGAGCCCUGUGGUGAAGAGAUCCAUACAAGUCCCUCUUCAUUUUUAUCUCCUUUAUUUCUGGCAUUCAGAGUCACUGGCCAAGAGUCUAUUUCAGGACAAAGGGCAAUAAAGCCAGACCAGCCUUCUGAACCAGCCUGCCUUUCACCAUCUGUGCUACAAAGAAUCUUCAGAUACGAAGAUCGGGAUACUUGCGGAGAUGAUUUCAACAAGGUUGUUUAUUCUUCAUUCAACGUGUGCGGGAUUCAGGAGAAUCAUUUGCAUUCUUACAAGAAGGUGCCACCCAGGGGAUUUCAUCACAGGGCCUCAGGGCAUGGACUGCAUAUGAUUUCCGUAUAUAUGAUGAGACUCAGCCUCAAAGUGGAUUCCAAGUAUUGGGCAAUCUCUCUUCAACCGCCUUCCCAAAUGGUACUUUUACUCUACUUUUUACCUGCAUUCAAUGGGCUACCCUUCCCCGUAUUCUCUAGGCGUGGCAUAUUCAUGAAAGGAAGGCAUCUCUUGGAAGUGACAGGAGAUAACAUUCCUGAAGAGUCUACUGACAGGUGCAACCUCAAAGUUCAUCUGAUUCCUGAAAAUAAUUCUUUGCUAGAAGCCAUUGAUGAAAAUGUUUCCACUGGUCAUCUGGAGUCAGAGGUGAUUCUGGGUGGUGGGUCUGAGGUCGGAGGCAUCUAAACUUUUUUUUUUUUUGCUUUUAGGUAUUUAGACAAUACGUUGUUACUUGAUUCAGGUUGGAGAAGUCAGGCCUCCUGAGAAGAUAAAGCCCAGGACACUUGGC
RNAcentral lists this long non-coding RNA (932 nucleotides) under Bos indicus x Bos taurus (hybrid cattle). RNAcentral describes it as "lncRNA (ENSBIXG00000029214.1)". The record is from RNAcentral. Lineage: Eukaryota; Metazoa; Chordata; Mammalia; Artiodactyla; Bovidae.